RNAcentral lists this ribosomal RNA (253 nucleotides) under uncultured bacterium. Its description in RNAcentral is "partial 16S ribosomal RNA". It matches the Rfam family "Bacterial small subunit ribosomal RNA", at positions 524 to 776 of the family's 1533-position model. The record is from RNAcentral.
UACGUAGGGCGCAAGCGUUAUCCGGAAUUAUUGGGCGUAAAGCGUGCGCAGGCGGUCUGUUAAGACAGAUGUGAAAUCCCCGGGCUUAACCUGGGAACUGCAUUUGUGACUGGCAGGCUAGAGUAUGGCAGAGGGGGGUAGAAUUCCACGUGUAGCAGUGAAAUGCGUAGAGAUGUGGAGGAACACCGAUGGCGAAGGCAGCCCCCUGGGUCAAGAUUGACGCUCAUGCACGAAAGCGUGGGGAGCAAACAGG